UACGGAGGAUCCAAGCGUUAUCCGGAUUUACUGGGUUUAAAGGGUGCGUAGGUGGAAUGACAAGUCAGUGGUGAAAACCUAUAGCUUAACUAUAGAACUGCCAUUGAUACUGUUAUUCUUGAGUGUAUUUGAUGUAAGUGGAAUGUGUCAUGUAGCGGUGAAAUGCUUAGAUAUGACACAGAACACCCAUGGCGAAGGCAGCUUACAAAACUACAACUGACACUGAGGCACGAAAGCGUGGGGAGCAAACAGG
RNAcentral lists this ribosomal RNA (253 nucleotides) under uncultured bacterium. RNAcentral describes it as "partial 16S ribosomal RNA". It matches the Rfam family "Bacterial small subunit ribosomal RNA", at positions 524 to 776 of the family's 1533-position model. The record is from RNAcentral.